GUUUCGUUAUAAUGACUUCCAUUCUUUACUUUGAAUCUCUCUGUCUCUGUCUUGUCUCUUUAUCUUCACCGGAUCCCUUGCUCACCGAUCCGAUUUAUGAAACGCUUUAGAAAUAUGGCUAUGAUUGUAUAAUUAAUCAGAUAGCUAUUAUUACAUUUUGAGUUUAAACGCUUAGUUUCUUCUAAUCUAUAUUAUUUCUUCUUAUUUUUUUCAAGAAGAUUGUCUGAAGUUUGGAAUCAAAGACAUGAGAUCAGAUGAGCAAGUCCGAUAUGGUUACUAAACCCGAAACGAACAUCAUGCAUGUCUCAGAUUGGUAAUGAAUCAACUAAAACCCUUCAGCUUUUGGUUUCUUAUGCUGACUGAUUUUAAUUCUUCUUAGUUUACUGUAUCUAUUUCCAGGAGAGGGUUUUACUUUCAGAUAGAUAUAUAUUCUUCUUACACAAAUAAGAAUGUAAGAAGAAACCAACAACAAAAGCAAACAUCAAUUGUGUCAAAUGGAAGGAGAUCAUGCUUAUCUAUGUAUUACUUCAGUUGAUUGUAUCUGAACAAUAAGGCGGUUAGUAUACAAUCCUAAACUAAUUGUUUUACUUACGUUCUCAAACCAAAUCUGAUUUCGACCUGUGCAAAACUAUUAACAGGACCUUCAUAUAGAGAUACAUUAAAGUCAUUUAUUUUUUAAAAAUCUGGUUAAAAUUGAAAUCGUUUGUUAGGCUAGAUCGUUUGUGUAGUUUGGCAUCAUAUGAGGUUAAAAAGGAAAUAAUAAUAUUUUAUAAACAUUGUUCUAGUUAAGUUAUUCAAUUUGAUAUUUUGUUAGUUUCGUGUUGUUUGUUGGAUAUAAUGGUCUCAUAUGUUUUAUAGAAACAAUUGACUAAUAAGAAACUAUUUGUUAAUCUUUUUAUACAAUCAUCGUAUUAUGAUAUUAGCCUAUUUAAUGUUUGGCAUGAUAUUAGACGUUUUGAGAACCAAGUUACAUGAAUCCAGCUGCAAAAUGAAAACAACAGCCUUGCCGGAAAAAAAAAGAAGAACAUUGUUAGUAAUUACUUAUCUAUCCAAACUAAUUCAUGACCAUCCAGAAUUAGUUUUAAGAUUGAAAGAACCAUGCCUUAUCUAUAUAUGUUUAGUUUGCACUUGACUGAGUGAUGUAUAUCUGUGUUUAGUUAAUGAUGGACUUAUAUAACACCAAAAUAUAUAAAAAAAGCUUCAAAUGACCAAAGAGAAUGAAUAUAUUUGUCCAAAAAAAAAGACAAGCAUCUUAUUUAAAUGAAUUUUGAUGAUAAAAAAAGUUGUUUAUAAAGCUAAAUAAACAAUUUCAGAAGCAUACGAACCAGCCAGCAUUCUUCCACCAACAUGUGUGUAUUUCAAACCUGAAAAAACCUGAAGAAAAUUAUAGGUGAAGAAAGUGACUAUACGAAUGUAAUAAACGUUUGUAAACAUAAGAUACCAAUUGGUCUGCUAAAACAAUCUCGAAGGUAUCUCCUCCAAGUGAUGUGUGUUGCUUCCAUGAAUGUAAGAAUUUAACUUGAUAAUUACUAGUUUUUAAAAGGUAUGAGUUUUGUGAGAGGAGUAAGAACUGUAAUCUUAAGCAUGUUUAGGUUUUUCUGUGUAGAAUGAUUUGCUUUUUAUGCAAUAGAGAUGAUAUAUAUAUAUAUAUAUUUAUAUACAUAUACAUAUAGUUGGUUUUGGAAAGGGUAGGUAAAGUAAGAAAUUAUAACAAAAUAUUUGGUUAGUUAUAAUUUGAACGAAUUCAAAAGAGAAUUAUCGUUUUUCAAGAAUUUAAUAUACAUUUCUUUUAACUUUAAAUCAUAAUGAUAUAAAGAGUAUUGGAUUUUAAAGAUUAGUGAUUUGCAAGUUUUGUAAACAUAAUAAAAAUAUGGGAAAAUUGCCGAAAUAGAACAAAAAAACAACAUAGUUUUCCCUAUGGUAUAAAUCCAUUUUUUACCAUUUUUUCUCCCUUUUACCCUUUCCAUAUAUUAAAAUUAAUGAAAUAAAUAGUUUUAAGAAUCAAAAAAUUAUUAAAAUAUAAAUAAUUAAUAAAACACCCAUUUACACAAACACAUAUUUUUUGGGUUGAAAAACAUAAUAAAUGAUGUUUUCAAAUUACGUUCUACUAAAAGUAGAAUUCCGCUUUUACACAAAACGGGUAAGUAGAAAAUGAAUUCUAGAAUGAACAUAUCCAUCUACUUUGUUUAGAACGUACAAACUACUUUUUACUAUAACUCUAAAUAUGGGGAAUACGAAUUCUAUUACUUGUAAUGAUCGCUACUUUUAUUUAGAACGAUGUUUCUACUUUUAUGGUGUAUUCUAAGUUAUCAGGAAUGCAAAAUCUAAACCAUACACGAACGUCCACAUAGUGUAGAAAUUACAUUCUGGAAUUUUGUUAUGUUCUACACAGUGUAGAAUGUGCUUUCUACGGAUAAAAAAAAACUGUUUUUUCGAAAAUUAAAGAAGUUGCAGUUUUAAAAAUAUUCUAACUUCCUAAAACGUGUUUUCAUUGAUUUACUUCGUGAAAAAUAAAAAUAAAAACGAUUUUGAAUGUUCUUCUUCACCAAUCUAUGAUUUCCCCAUGAUUUCUCUAUAGUUUGUCUUGUGAUUUUCACAAACUCUUGUUCUAUGAUGCAUAUCUAUACAACAUGUGGUGUUUGGGAGUUUGGAGCAACCACGGGAUGGUUUUUUUUGGCUGAUGAGAAAGGGGCUAGGCUACUUUUAUUGGAAUCAAGUUCUACCUUAGAGGUUUUUAAAAGAAUGGUUUUAGAGAAUUUUGAUAUGGAAGAAGAUAGCUUACCCGAUUUGGAGUUGAGUUAUCUACCUACUGAGUUGAUCAAUACAUCAACAUGUCCACCUGUGAUCAUUGCAAAUGAUCGACAGCUUCAGAAUUUUGUUGGUUUUGUUCAAAAGUGUGUUUCUACUCGAUUGUGUGUAAGAAUCUGAAUGAACCAGACUUUGAUCUUAACAAGUCGCCAGCUGAUUCAAGUAUUGCUGAAGAGGAGGGAAACUCGGUUGAUAGGGGGAACGAACCAGCUCAUGUGUUUGUUGAGAGGCAGUGAGAGAAAAAGAAAGAAAAGAUUAGAAGAGUCGAAGUUGAUGAGGAUGCCUAUGAUGCUGAUACCAUGAUCUCGGCCAAAGAGGACAACCAUAAUAUGUCAAAGUUUUCUCUGCUCAAUGUUUUUAAGAAGGGACAAUUGUUUGAGAACAAAACUUUGCUGAAGGCCACUUUCGAGAUAUGUGCAAUGAAGCAUAAGUUUCACUACGAGGUUAUCAAAACAGAUAGACAGCUUUGGUAUGUUAGAUGUGAGGAUAAUGCAUGCAAUUGGUGUGUUCGAGCAGAGUGUUUGAAGGAUUCUGCAUAUUUCAUUAUCAAAAAGUAUGUCGGUGAACAUACAUGCGCACCUUCAAGCAAAACCAAACCGGGUAAAACUGCUUCGGCCAAAACUAUAGGCACUCUGAUUAUUAAACCAACAUUGAAUCAUUUUUUUUUUAAAUACAAUUAAUUAUGUUUAAUGGGAUUAAUCAAAUGUUACUUUUGGUAUUAUGGAAAACAUUAUACUAUAGGGACAACUUGAGGUUGGAUUUAUACCAUAGGGACAACUAUGUUAUUUUUUUGUUCUCUUUCGGCAAUUUUCCCAAAUAUGUUGUGUUAAUUGAUUGAUAUCGUUUUUGUUAUGGUUAUUGCGUAGAAAAUAGGAGUAUUUUUUGGAAUGUUAUUGAGUUAAAGAAACUACGAAAUCAUAAUUAUAUAUAGAAUAUUCGUUUUAAAGAUAACACAUAUGUGAUUUGAAAGUUUUGUAAAAAUAUUAAUAAGAUUGUGUUAUGUGCUUGGUAUCGUUUUUAUUAAAUAUUUUUACGUACAAAUAAGAGUAUUUUUGAAAUGUUAUUAAGUUAGUGAUGUUAUGGUUAGCGAUAAAUGUAAAACGUCUGUGUCUUAAGGCAACGGCAUAGGAUGGUAAUUUUUUAGGAAAAGUCAGGGUUAUUUUUUUUUGUACUUCUGUUUUAAUAGUUUAAAUUUGUUGACCUCAAUUUACAAACCAUGUAUUUCACCAUUCUGCAAAUAAAAUGAUAAAUUCAGACAAUUACACAGACAUUCAAAUCUUUCCCACAUAAACCUAUUCACAAUUCAUUCCCAUUUUAAAAGAAAAGAAUACCAGCAACAAAUAGUAAGAAAAUAAUAUCAUUCAUAAACCAAACACUGUUCUGUAGUAUUGUUGAAACUUGAAACUUAAUAGUAAGAUGUUGUAUACUUGUAUCUCUGAUAUAUUACCAUUCUUUUACAUAUUAAUACUAUAUUUUACCUUUGACCAAAAAAAUACCAUGUUUUACCAAGAUUUUGGAUGUGUUAUAUUAUUAUAGACAUAUAUGUGUUAUAUUAUUAUAGACAAAAUAUAACCGACCACUAACUAAAAUAACCAGCAACUACUGGAGAUAACCAGAUGAUAUGAAUGUUAACUGAGAUAACUGGAUAAUAACCAACAAACAUUAUAGGUACCUACAACCAUUAUAGUCACUAAAAUAUAUGGUGUUUUUGACAUCUUGUAUAUAUGUUUUCUAAUUGGUUUUCAAGUCUUUAUCGAGUCUUCCUAGUCAUUUUCGAGUUAUUACAGGUCUGGAGUUGCACUGGAUGGGAGAUGGACUAGCUGGAACAAAAGAGCCAGAAAGAACCCGAAUUGGAGAUUUUCACGAGCGGAACAACCUUGCAGGCUGUUCUCGAGCGUGUGGAGCAACCCGAGUGCAUGUUCCAGCGACAGAGAUUUUUAAGGAAAACUUCUAAUAUUUCGGGAUUUUACCUAGGGUUCCCUCUUUUUACUCCCAGACCGCCAUAGAGCUGCAUAUCUAUCUUUUCUUAUUAUUCUAGACAUUCUACGUUACUUUUAGGGGAGAUUUUGGAGAGAGAAAAUUUGUACUCUUGUUUAGGGAGAAGAAUCUCUACAUCCUUUGGAAAAUAUUUCUAAACUCUCUUUGUUUUUUUUUAUUAUUGAUUCAUACAUGUUUUCCUCAUCUGUUAUCUCUAUGUUUUCUCUGUCCAUGGCAGAGUAAUCUGCCUGCUUACUCUAGGGUGUUAGGGUGUUUAGAUCAAUGAGCUAAAACCAAAUAAGGUUCAUUAUUGAUUGUCUCCAUUCAUGGUUAUGCUUACUGCCUGCAUUAAACUAGCUAUUUAUUGUUUGAACCUAGGUUUAAUCUAAUCAUCAAAAGUGCUUAGGUUGCUAGAAACAACAUGAAUGGGCAGC
Molecule: long non-coding RNA, 5219 nt
Filed under: Brassica rapa (field mustard)
Lineage: Eukaryota; Viridiplantae; Streptophyta; Magnoliopsida; Brassicales; Brassicaceae
Description: long non-coding RNA (BRAP_LNC001402)
Source: RNAcentral